GCGAUAUGAAGCAUUUAAUUAGAUAGUUAAUAAUUGAAGAUAAAUUAAGGGCAACUUGGUGCAAAACCAAGGCAGUCCCGCUACUGUGAAUCCGCCAGCAGGCGGACAAGCCAGAAAACCUUAAUUUAUUAUGUAAGUCCU
Molecule: non-coding RNA, 141 nt
Filed under: Candidatus Berkelbacteria bacterium
Lineage: Bacteria; Candidatus Berkelbacteria
Source: RNAcentral